Molecule: ribosomal RNA, 391 nt
Filed under: Gallotia galloti palmae
Lineage: Eukaryota; Metazoa; Chordata; Lepidosauria; Squamata; Lacertidae
Description: partial 12S ribosomal RNA
Rfam family: Bacterial small subunit ribosomal RNA
Source: RNAcentral
GCUAAGCCAUAAACAUUGAUAGUUAAAUAUACAACACUUUCCGCCAGAGAACUACAAGUGAAAAACUUAAAACUCAAAGGACUUGGCGGUGUCCCACAUUCGACCUAGAGGAGCCUGUCCUAUAAUCGAUACUCCCCGCUCUACCUCACCAGCACUAGCACUAACUUCAGCCUAUAUACCGCCGUCGACAGCUUACCCCCUGAGGGUUUAACAGUAAGCACAAUAGUCCUACCACUAACACGUCAGGUCAAGGUGUAGCUAAUGUGCUGGCAGAGAUUGGCUACAUUUUUUACUUUAAAAAACACGAAAUGCUAUAUGAAAAACAGCAUGAAGGCGAAUUUAGUAGUAAAACAGACAAGAGAGUCUGCUUUAACAACGCUCUGGGACGCGU